RNAcentral lists this transfer RNA (62 nucleotides) under Opiliones sp. MT-2014. RNAcentral describes it as "tRNA-Glu". The record is from RNAcentral. Lineage: Eukaryota; Metazoa; Arthropoda; Arachnida; Opiliones.
GUUUUUGUAGUGUAAAUUAACACCUGGGGCUUUCAGACCCAUAUUGCUUAGAGGCCAAAACU